Molecule: ribosomal RNA, 79 nt
Filed under: Acanthosepion pharaonis
Lineage: Eukaryota; Metazoa; Mollusca; Cephalopoda; Sepiida; Sepiidae
Source: RNAcentral
GAGUUCCCGUACGAUCACCGAAGUUAAGCAACGUCGAGCCUGGGCAGUACGUAAAUGGGUGACGAUUUGGGAAUACCAG